Molecule: long non-coding RNA, 1151 nt
Organism: Siniperca chuatsi (mandarin fish)
Lineage: Eukaryota; Metazoa; Chordata; Actinopteri; Centrarchiformes; Sinipercidae
Exons: 2
Source: RefSeq, a predicted model, not a curated record
AACCAAACCUUCACCUGCACACAGAGAGAGAGGGAGACAGGUGUGUGUUAAUGCAGGUGAGGUCACAUACGACACCUCCUCCUCUGCACACUUACUCUCAUAAAUAAUCGUGGAUGAUUCACAUCGUUUCACUGGCGUCAGGACUCGUAUCGCCGUGGCGACCUGAUGACAAACACUGUCAAUCACUCCUGAGAAAAGGCGGAGGGAGCGAUUCAGAGCUGACUAACCGUCGGUUCACCCCCCCCCCAUCAUUCCUCUGAUCUGGAUCACAGCCAGCUGCCGUCAGAGCACACCUGAGCACCACGAGGAGGGAAACCUGUUCACACUGAAAGCCGUGAUGUUUCAGACAGCAGCUGUCUGUUACUGAGCAAGGCACCGGCAGAGUGUGUGGUUAAAUUCCCGUCUGGUCUGAUGUUACUUUUAAAAAGGUCCAGCGUGCAGGAGAAACUACGGUGGCCGCGAAAGGCCCUCUCUAGAGCCGGUGUGUGGUUUGUCCGUUCUGGGCUACUGUAGAAACAUGGCGGCCUCCGUGGAAGGGGACCCGCUCCCUCUGUAGAUAUAAAGGCUGAUUCUAAGGUAACGAAAACACGACGGCUCUGAUUUUCAGGUGAUUAAACACUGAUACUUAUUAUUGUGUGUCAGAAGUUCUGUUUAUUUCACUAUUUUAUUUAGUAAAAUUCCUACUGAAAGAAUUCUUAAUAUUUUAAAUACUGCAUUUCUGAAUUUGUCAUUCAUUCAUAUAUUAGUUCUGGAAAAAAAGAUUAUGUUUUGUUUAAAAACUAUCUAAUCAAUCAAUCAUUAAUUUAAUCAUUUAUACAUUUAAUUUAUUUUAAAUGCUGCGUUUCUGAAUGUAUUUGUCGUUCAUUCAUUCAUUCAUUCAUAUGUCCUGGAAGAAAUUAUGUUUCGUUGAAUUGUAUUUAUAUUAAUAUACUGUAUAUAAUCAAUUAUUCAUUCAUUCAUUCAUAUUUUCUGGGAGAAAUUGUCAUUUUUUUUGUUUAGUUACUUUCUGGACAUUUUUAUUCAUUCAUAUGUUAAGGAAAUUGACAUGUUUAACUAUUUUUUCUGGACAGUUUUUCAUUCAUUCACCCAUAUUUACUGUCAGAAACGGUCAUGUUUUGUUUAGCUACUGUUAUUAAACUCUGAUAAUCGGU